Molecule: ribosomal RNA, 442 nt
Filed under: uncultured bacterium
Lineage: Bacteria
Description: partial 16S ribosomal RNA
Rfam family: Bacterial small subunit ribosomal RNA
Source: RNAcentral
CCUACGGGUGGCAGCAGUAGGGAAUCUUUCACAAUGGGCGAAAGCCUGAUGGAGCAACGCCGCGUGCAGGAUGGAGGCCUUCGGGUUGUAAACUGCUUUUAUAAGCGAGAAAUAUGAUGGUAACUUAUGAAUAAGGAUCGGCUAACUACGUGCCAGCAGCCGCGGUCAUACGUAGGAUCCGAGCAUUAUCCGGAGUGACUGGGUGUAAAGAGUUGCGUAGGUGGCAUAAUAAGUAGCUAGAGAAAUCUGGUGGCUCAACCAUUCAGACUAUUAGCUAAACUGUUAAGCUCGAGACCGUUAGGGGUAACUGGAAUUUCUAGUGUAGGAGUGAAAUCCGUAGAUAUUAGAAGGAACACCAAUAGCGUAGGCAGGUUGCUGGGACGGUUCUGACACUAAGGCACGAAAGCGUAGGGAGCAAACGGGAUUAGAUACCCCUGUAGUC